This 33-nucleotide small RNA is filed under the name Bombyx mori (domestic silkworm). RNAcentral describes it as "ovarian small RNA-28816". The record is from RNAcentral. Lineage: Eukaryota; Metazoa; Arthropoda; Insecta; Lepidoptera; Bombycidae.
UCGCUACGCUCUCUUCCACCGAUUGGUGGAAUG